RNAcentral lists this ribosomal RNA (400 nucleotides) under uncultured bacterium. RNAcentral's name for it is "bacterial SSU rRNA". It matches the Rfam family "Bacterial small subunit ribosomal RNA", at positions 341 to 738 of the family's 1533-position model. The record is from RNAcentral.
ACGGGAGGCAGCAGUAAGGAAUAUUGGUCAAUGGACGCAAGUCUGAACCAGCCAUGCCGCGUGAAGGAUGAAGGUCCUCUGGAUUGUAAACUUCUUUUAUCUGGGACGAAAAAAGGGCUUUCUAGCUCACUUGACGGUACCAGAGGAAUAAGCACCGGCUAACUCCGUCCCAGCAGCCGCUGUAAUACGGAGGGUGCGAGUGUUAUCCGGAUUUACUGGGUUUAAAGGGUGCGUAGGUGGGCAGGUAAGUCAGUGGUGAAAUCUUCGAGCUUAACUCGGAAACUGCCAUUGAUACUAUCUGUCUUGAAUGCCCUGGAGGUAAGCGGAAUAUGUCAUGUAGCGGUGAAAUGCUUAGAUAUGACAUAGAACACCAAUUGCGAAGUCAGCUUAGUACGGGGUG